This is a long non-coding RNA of Portunus trituberculatus (swimming crab), 781 nucleotides long. RefSeq lists it as uncharacterized. Lineage: Eukaryota; Metazoa; Arthropoda; Malacostraca; Decapoda; Portunidae. The record is from RefSeq and is a predicted model, not a curated record. The transcript is spliced from 5 exons.
CCCUGCAGGCGAGAGAGAAAGAGAAAGAGAGAGAGAGAAAUAAAGCAAAGGUCUCUCCACACUCCCUCUCACUUCUCCAGUCCCUCCUCCACCACCAGCGUGUUCUCUCUCCUCUCUCCAAGGUUUCUCUCCACAGUCAUGGCCCGUCUCAAGAUACACGUCAUAUAUUGUGGUGCCUGAGGUUAUGGACCGAAGUAUCGCCAGCUGAAAGAGCAUCUCGAGGCGGACUUCCCUCAUAAACUUGAAUUUAGUUAUGAAGCCACUCCUAACUCCACCGGCUACCUGGAAGUUAUAGUGGAUGGCAAACUUGUCCACUCCAAAAAGAACGGCGAUGGUUACGUUGACACAGAGAAGAAAUUCAACAAGAUUUCCGAUGCGGUCAGUGAUGCCUUGGAUGCCGCGGAGACUCAGAGCUAACCUAACCUAACCUGUGGCCUCACCCUCGCCUCGUCUCUACCCUUUCUCCUUCGCCCCGCUCCGCCCCGCAGCCCCGGACAUGAAGCUGCCGCCCCAAAGCCCCGCAAGGACCGGUGGUGGUGGAACAAACUGGGGCAUGGGGGGAGGUGGCGGGACGGGGCUUGAGAGGGGGGGAGGAGGCUGUCUUGGAGGGGGUCAUUUGGGAGGGUUCACGUAGUGUUUAUUUAUUUGUUUUGUUUAUUUGAGAUUAUUUUGAGAUUUGGGUUGUCUCUGUCUGUCUGUCUCCGUCUGUCUGUCUGUCUAUCUGUCUGUCUGUCUCUCAGGGAUUCAUAUUUUUCUUAUUUAUUGAUUGAUUUAUUCUCUC